RNAcentral lists this ribosomal RNA (468 nucleotides) under uncultured bacterium. RNAcentral describes it as "partial 16S ribosomal RNA". It matches the Rfam family "Bacterial small subunit ribosomal RNA", at positions 28 to 507 of the family's 1533-position model. The record is from RNAcentral.
GACGAACGCUGGCGGCGUGCUUAACACAUGCAAGUCGAACGGAAAGGCCCUGCUUUUGUGGGGUGCUCGAGUGGCGAACGGGUGAGUAACACGUGAGUAACCUGCCCUUGACUUUGGGAUAACUUCAGGAAACUGGGGCUAAUACCGGAUAGGAGCUCCUGCUGCAUGGUGGGGGUUGGAAAGUUUCGGCGGUUGGGGAUGGACUCGCGGCUUAUCAGCUUGUUGGUGGGGUAGUGGCUUACCAAGGCUUUGGCGGGUAGCCGGCCUGGGAGGGUGACCGGCCACAUUGGGACUGAGGUACGGCGCAGAGUGCUACGGGGGGCAGCAGUGGGGAAUAUUGUACAAUGGGCGGAAGCCUGAGGAAGCAACGCCGCGUGCGGGAUGACGGCCUUCGGGUUGUAAACCGCUUUCGCCUGUGACGAAGCGUGAGUGACGGUAAUGGGUAAAGAAGCACCGGCUAACUACGUG